AAUCAACGCUGGCGGCGUGCCUAACACAUGCAAGUCGAACGCGAAAGUCCCGCAAGGGAUGAGUAGAGUGGCAAACGGGUGAGUAACACGUGGGUGACCUGCCUUCGAGCGGGGGAUAACGUCCCGAAAGGGACGCUAAUACCGCAUGACAUCCUGCCUUUGAAGAGGUGGAGAUCAAAGCUGGGGAUCGCAAGACCUAGCACUUGAAGAGGGGCCCNCGUCNGAUUAGCUAGUUGGUGGGGUAACGGCUCACCAAGGCAACGAUCAGUAUCCGGCCUGAGAGGGCGGACGGACACAC
This 298-nucleotide ribosomal RNA is filed under the name uncultured bacterium. RNAcentral's name for it is "partial 16S ribosomal RNA". It matches the Rfam family "Bacterial small subunit ribosomal RNA", at positions 32 to 313 of the family's 1533-position model. The record is from RNAcentral.